GCCGGCAUGGUGGCGCAUGCCUGUAAUCCCAGCUACUUGGGAGGCUGAGACAGGGGAAUCGCUUGAACCCAGGAUGCGGAGGUUGCAGUGGGCCGAGAUUAUACCACUGCACUCCAGCCUGGGUGACACAGCGAGACUCCAUCUCAA
RNAcentral lists this non-coding RNA (147 nucleotides) under Gorilla gorilla gorilla (western lowland gorilla). The record is from Rfam by way of RNAcentral. Lineage: Eukaryota; Metazoa; Chordata; Mammalia; Primates; Hominidae.